Molecule: non-coding RNA, 551 nt
Filed under: Pongo abelii (Sumatran orangutan)
Lineage: Eukaryota; Metazoa; Chordata; Mammalia; Primates; Hominidae
Source: RNAcentral
AUUCUGAAGACUGACUGAGCGUGGAAGUUGCUCAACAAAAAAAGGAACGGGUAUAUUGAGUCUUGCUCUAUUGCCCAGGCUGCAACUGGCGUGAUCUUGGCUCACUACAACCUCUGCCUCCUGGGUUCAAGUGAUUCUCCUGCCUCAACCUCCCAAGUAGCUGGGAUUACAAGCAUGCACCACCAUGCCUGGCUAAUUUUUGUAUUUUUAGUGGAGACGGGGCUUCGCCACGUUGGCCAGGGUGGUCUUGAACUCCUGACCUCAAGUGAUCCACCUGCCUUGGCCUUCCAAAGUGCUGGGAUUAUAAGCAUGAGCCACCGCACCCAGCCUUAUACUGAACUUUCAAUGGGUUCAAUUCCACUAGGAGCAUAAAGUCCACUGCAUAUGAGUUGUGGAAAGAAGAGAUUAGAGGAAGAAGGAAGAACUUGAGAUGAGUUCUUCCCUUCAACAUUCUGUCUCCUCCUACCUAGCAUCUUCUUUCUUUUAGUCUUUCUAGAAUGUCCAUCUGUUUUUGGCCAUUGCAGAAAGAGAAGCUGAGCUUUAAAGGCGUA